UUCCCUAAGACCUUAACCCUAAUUUUGCUUGGAGACAGCCACAGCCGGCGGCGUGUGUUGCGGCGCGAGUGGUGGCGUGCGUUGCGGCGCGGGCGGCGGGCGCGGCGUGCGGCGGCGGCGGCGCGGCGAGCCGAAGACCACGCCAGCACGGGGGCAGCACGGCAGGGGCGGCCGCCGGCUGGGCGCACCGGCGGAGGCGGGAGCCGCGGCGCAGUGCCGGCAGCGGCCGUCGGCCGAGUGGGCACGAUUUCCGGCAAGACACCGGAACAGAUGAGGGAGACGCUUUCGAUUAAGAACGAAUUCACGCCGGAGGAGGAGGCGGGGCACGAUAGGAUAAAAAAGGAGGUAUUCGCUGAUUGGGCCUCUGGGUCGGCUACGCUCAAGCAGCGAGCCGUCGUCGCAAUCCCUUCCCGUCAAGUCAGAGCGCGAGUCUCGGGGCGGAGCGUUUCGUCCUCCGCCGCAGCAGUUCCGCCGCCGUAGCCCCUAAUCAUCCGUCGUUGCCGCCAUUUAGUUCCGCCGCCGGCGCCAAUGCCGGCUGGGAGUUUUUAGUUCGCCCACCGCCCACCGCCGCCGGCCAUCCCGGACAGAGCAGCGCAAUCCCCUACUGUGUUCUCCUUCUGUCAGUUCCGUCGCCAUCGCCGGUUGAUCCAAUCGUUUCGUCGCCACGCCAUCGCCUGUGUUGCUGUAUGUAUAGAUUAGCUGGCAAGAUUAUUUGUAUUGGAGCAGAAGUACUUGCAUGUUAUGUUUUUUUCACUUGAGCUAAACUGUACGAGUAGCUAUUAAUCAGUUCUGUUUAAGUGCAAAAUAUCCAUGCAGUGUGCCUGGAUUUGAAGA
Oryza sativa Japonica Group (Japanese rice) is the source of this 834-nucleotide long non-coding RNA. RefSeq lists it as uncharacterized. NCBI's taxonomy places the organism in Eukaryota, Viridiplantae, Streptophyta, Magnoliopsida, Poales, Poaceae. The record is from RefSeq and is a predicted model, not a curated record.